GUGCAAGGGACAACUGUUACUCUUUCAUGCAGUGACUUACAGAAACAGCCUUUGAAAGUACUUGCCAUUUCCUCUCCUCAUCAACAGUCACUCUCUUACUGAACUAUAUUGCCUUUUACAUUAUCCUGUUCCCUGGUACAAAGUCAUGUCUGUUGCACUUAGGAUGUGGCAUAUUACAGAGCAAAGUUCCUUUGAGGUCACUUAAAACCUGUUUUAAUCGUCACAGCCUGGGCUAGUAGCACAGGAACAACUGUAUGAGCGAGUCAGCCUAAUCAUGAAAUGAUUAGCACUUUUGGCAGUGGAGGCUCUGUAGCCGGAAGGUGGCUGCCCCACUGUUGCUGGGCUCCAAUUUGCUUGUUGCUGCCUUCUGCUCUUCCAUAGUUGUUGGUGCAGCGGUGCUGCAGAGCAUGCUAGUCUGUCAGUGAUCUAAGGGUGUGUGAAUCGUAGCACAGAGCAGGGAACAGAGAUAACUCUUAUUUAUUUAUUUAUUUAUUUAAUUUUUAAAUGACACUAAUCUCAGGUUUUGCCUGCUUGCCCAAUCAAUAAAAUACACAUUGGGUAACUUGUGGGUUUCUUUUCUCAUGAAUGACACCAGAAUCUCUGUCUGUUUUGGUUAUAAAAUCGUUGUUAGAGUGCCAGGUUACAGCAAAGAGGAUGAAAAUUUUGAUUUCUGAAGUUCACAGAGGAAACAAUACCUAGUUUAAACACUGCUGCAGUGGAAGUAACAUCCAGCUGAGAUGGCUGGUACCACCAUAAUUAAUCUCCCCUUUGUGAGAGGAGGAGAAGAAUUACAGACAAAGCCAGUUUCUCAGAGCAGACAGCCGACUUGAUCUGGGACUCAUUCCCAAAGAAGACGACAGAACUUUGGAGGAGUCCUGGGUCUCUACCAUGGAAAAGGACAGUUGAAGCUGCUGUGUUGCUAGUGUGGUACCUGUUUGUGCUUUUCUGGUACAGCCUUGCUGGAUAAGUACCCAGAGAACAGUGUGGGAGAGCUCUGCAGUGUGUCUUACAGGGCAGUUUGCUCUGGUGUUAAAACUCUGUGCAGAAGAGCUUAGCAGUGACCUCGUAGUUGUGAGGACUCUUUGGAGAGGCCAGCGUACUCAUCUGCAGCUUUUGCACGAGAUGAUGAUCUGAGCUCUGGUAAGUUAACUUUCUAACCAAAUUUAUUAUGAGUCUUUACAGGACAGAAAACCGAACCAAAUACUAAUG
Molecule: long non-coding RNA, 1209 nt
Filed under: Aquila chrysaetos chrysaetos
Lineage: Eukaryota; Metazoa; Chordata; Aves; Accipitriformes; Accipitridae
Description: lncRNA (ENSACCG00020012309.1)
Source: RNAcentral